GAUGAACGCUGGCGGCGUGCCUAAUACAUGCAAGUCGGGCGAACAGAUGAGGAGCUUGCUCCUCUGACGUUAGCGGCGGACGGGUGAGUAACACGUGGAUAACCUACCUAUAAGACUGGGAUAACUUCGGGAAACCGGAGCUAAUACCGGAUAAUAUAUUGAACCGCAUGGUUCAAUAGUGAAAGACGGUUUUGCUGUCACUUAUAGGUGGAUCCGCGCCGCAUUAGCUAGUUGGUAAGGUAACGGCUUACCAAGGCAACGAUGCGUAGCCGACCUGAGAGGGUGAUCGGCCACACUGGAACUGAGACACGGUCCAGACUCCUACGGGAGGCAGCAGUAGGGAAUCUUCCGCAAUGGGCGAAAGCCUGACGGAGCAACGCCGCGUGAGUGAUGAAGGUCUUCGGAUCGUAAAACUCUGUUAUUAGGGAAGAACAAAUGUGUAAGUAACUAUGCACGUCUUGACGGUACCUAAUCAGAAAGCCACGGCUAACUACGUG
This 497-nucleotide ribosomal RNA is filed under the name uncultured bacterium. RNAcentral's name for it is "partial 16S ribosomal RNA". It matches the Rfam family "Bacterial small subunit ribosomal RNA", at positions 28 to 507 of the family's 1533-position model. The record is from RNAcentral.